Molecule: long non-coding RNA, 390 nt
Organism: Rhineura floridana
Lineage: Eukaryota; Metazoa; Chordata; Lepidosauria; Squamata; Rhineuridae
Exons: 3
Source: RefSeq, a predicted model, not a curated record
AGAGAGAACACCUGCAUGUUUGGACAGCACCAUUCAUUUCAACAGAAAGGACACAGAAUACCAUGUUCUCUGCCAUUUUCAAAUGAAGGUGAUUUGCUGUUACCAAUUUUCUUGUUGACAAUCCCCUGAAAAGCUUUUAAGGACCACUUCAAAGUGACUAACAGAUUUGAAAAGUGUUGAACAGAGCUGUGGAAUUUCAGCACCUGACUCAGAAACAAAAGCACUUUGCAGUUUGACAACUAUCCUCUAUUUGAAGGUGUCCUAUGUUUGAAGGGCUGUUCACGUCUAGUUUAAAGAUUUAAAAUACCCCUAAGAAUAGAGACCUUGAAGUUGCCCACUGAAGUUGACAGCAGACUGAACAAGCACACAUCAUCUGGUCACAGUCUUCCC